UGGGGAAUUUUGGACAAUGGGGGAAACCCUGAUCCAGCCAUCCCGCGUGUGCGAUGAAGGCCUUCGGGUUGUAAAGCACUUUUGGCAGGAAAGAAACGUCAUGGGUUAAUACCCCGUGAAACUGACGGUACCUGCAGAAUAAGCACCGGCUAACUACGUGCCAGCAGCCGCGGUAAUGCGUAGGGUGCAAGCGUUAAUCGGAAUUACUGGGCGUAAAGCGUGCGCAGGCGGUUCGGAAAGAAAGAUGUGAAAUCCCAGAGCUCAACUUUGGUACUGCAUUUUUAACUACCGGGCUAGAGUGUGUCAGAGGGAGGUGGAAUUCCGCGUGUGGCAGUGAAAUGCGUAGAUAUGCGGAGGAACACCGAUGGCGAAGGCAGCCUCCUGGGAUAACACUGACGCUCAUGCACGAAAGCGUGGGGAGCAAACAGG
RNAcentral lists this ribosomal RNA (429 nucleotides) under Acidobacteriota bacterium. Its description in RNAcentral is "Acidobacteria bacterium partial 16S ribosomal RNA". It matches the Rfam family "Bacterial small subunit ribosomal RNA", at positions 355 to 776 of the family's 1533-position model. The record is from RNAcentral. Lineage: Bacteria; Pseudomonadati; Acidobacteriota.